AACGAACGCUGGCGGCAUGCCUAACACAUGCAAGUCGAACGAGACCUUCGGGUCUAGUGGCGCACGGGUGCGUAACGCGUGGGAAUCUGCCCUUUGCUUCGGAAUAACAGUGAGAAAUUACUGCUAAUACCGGGUGAUGUCUUCGGACCAAAGAUUUAUCGGCAAAGGAUGAGCCCGCGUAGGAUUAGCUAGUUGGUGGGGUAAUGGCCUACCAAGGCGACGAUCCUUAGCUGGUCUGAGAGGAUGAUCAGCCACACUGGGACUGAGACACGGCCCAGACUCCUACGGGAGGCAGCAGUGGGGAAUAUUGGACAAUGGGCGAAAGCCUGAUCCAGCAAUGCCGCGUGAGUGAUGAAGGCCUUAGGGUUGUAAAGCUCUUUUACCCGGGAUGAUAAUGACAGUACCGGGAGAAUAAGCUCCGGCUAACUCCGUGCCAGCAGCCGCAGUAA
Molecule: ribosomal RNA, 449 nt
Filed under: uncultured bacterium
Lineage: Bacteria
Description: partial 16S ribosomal RNA
Rfam family: Bacterial small subunit ribosomal RNA
Source: RNAcentral